This 223-nucleotide ribosomal RNA is filed under the name uncultured Flavobacterium sp. RNAcentral describes it as "partial 16S ribosomal RNA". It matches the Rfam family "Bacterial small subunit ribosomal RNA", at positions 303 to 523 of the family's 1533-position model. Lineage: Bacteria; Pseudomonadati; Bacteroidota; Flavobacteriia; Flavobacteriales; Flavobacteriaceae. The record is from RNAcentral.
AUCCCCCACACUGGUACUGAGACACGGACCAGACUCCUACGGGAGGCAGCAGUGAGGAAUAUUGGUCAAUGGAGGCAACUCUGAACCAGCCAUGCCGCGUGCAGGAUGACGGUCCUAUGGAUUGUAAACUGCUUUUGUACGGGAAGAAAUGUAAUUACGUGUAAUUAUUUGACGGUACCGUAAGAAUAAGGAUCGGCUAACUCCGUGCCAGCAGCCGCGGUAA